This is a long non-coding RNA of Cyanistes caeruleus (blue tit), 1836 nucleotides long. RefSeq lists it as uncharacterized. The record is from RefSeq and is a predicted model, not a curated record. Lineage: Eukaryota; Metazoa; Chordata; Aves; Passeriformes; Paridae.
CAAAAUCUGUCCAAGCCCUACUAGUUAUGGCUGAGCAGAAGAGGCUGCUCCAAGCCCAGACAGGACCCUCUGCUGUCAUGGGGAAGGGGAUGGGGUUUUCUCCUUGCACAAAGGCAUUGCAGAUUGUGUCUCUUGGCAGGAAAUAGAGCAAGGUGUGGUUUUACCUGUGGGUGAGUGACCGAGCAAGAGUCUGACUGAGGCACUCACAGACAUCCCACCAGGCCUCAUCCUCAUAUCCCAGAGGACAUCUCCAUCAGUACUGAACAAUGGACUGGAAUGGAAAUUACAUAUGAGUGCCUGACCUCUGGAAAACGACAAACUGAAGGAGGACUCGGUAUCUGGAAGCAUGUCACCACCUAGUGACGGAGCCCAGGAGUGAAUGAGAGCUCUGUGUGUGCAGCUCUAACAGGUGAGAUAAAGCAAUCGCAUGAUGGCUGAGCACAAAGCGUGUUCACACCAGAGCACAACACACAGAACUACCAGGUAAUGGUUUCAGUCCUUCCUCAGACGUUGGCUUGGACUUCUCCAGGACUGACAAAUCCCUCAGAGAAAUCGCUGUAUUUGCCAGAUAGAAAGGUGUUGCCCCUUUCCCCCGCACCUUUGGUGAUUCUGCAGAAGCCGGUGUGUGGGUGCUAAGGAUGAAUUCUUUUCUUUUGUGCCAAUGCGUGAGGGUCCUAAAAGUGCAAGUCAGCAGCGAGGCAGCUGCAGAACUGUUUUGUUUCCCAGCUGAAACAGGGAAAUUGUCACUGAAACUCGCAGGAAACUGAAAUCGGCACAGCACAAAGACUGGUGGCAUACAAGGGCAGGAAGGUGUCCUGCCCCACUGUGCCGGCUCCCAGUUUGCUAGUGAGUUGGGAAAGUCAUAUGAAAAACGUAAAACUCAGCCAGGGAAAAAAAAGUUCAAGACCGACACCAACUUCUGGACCUCCUCCCAUUUGUCCUUCCCCGAGUUUGUUUCCCCAGUGGAAAGGGACCUGCCCUUGGGCUAGAAGGGCCAGCAAGCAGCGGAGACAAGUCUCUGAACCCCUUGCAGGAGACUGAAGCCUCUCCAUACAGCUGCUUUUUAGGGUGGCAGGUUGCAACUGAGCCACAGCACCCCUGUACCUCUUCCAGGCUGUCCAAUACUCCUCCCUGAGUGCCCUCACUGCUGGUGGUCGGCAGCCAGGUUUGCCCACCUGGAACACAUGCUGUGUCUUACAUUAUCGCCUCCUGUUGUAACUCAGUUCCUUGUCCCUUACGAGCAGCAGUGACAAGCGUGUGUUGCACAGACCCUCCAGCCCGCUUCCUUUGUUAUUUCAGCUGGUUUUAGCUUUAAACUAUUUUCCUGGUCAUUAUUCUCAUCCUAAAUAUUUAGGCGAUAGAAGUCAAAAGAAUGUGAGCACUGCCUGGCCGGUGUAUGCCCGACCUGCAGCAAAUCCAAAAGACAGCUUCAGGCUGGCCCCACCAUGUGUAAGUCUAAGCAAGAGCCGUGUCCACAUUUGUACUCUGGUGUUCAGACUUUUCAAAUCGAGCUCUUCUCUCUCCCAGAUGCAGGCGCCGCACUCUGUGCUGGUGGACACAGCAGGCAGAAUUGGUGGGGCUUCCUAAGAUCCCAGUUCCCUCUUGAUGGCUUCUGACUGCCAGGGGCUCCCCGCUGGGACACGGGAGGUGUACACGGGCCAGCAAACCCCUCCGGAGCAAGGGCUCUCCUCUAAGGACUGCUAGAGGGAACGAUUUCUUUCUAUUUGUUCUGAAAUAUUCCGAGCAAAGUCCUCUUCCAGUUCCGGUUUCCUAACAAACCACAAAGCCCCACACUGCCUUUCAUGCCAGCACAUUGUCCGCUGCCCAGCAAACCCC